UCAUCAAUAUUGUUUGGCAAUGAUAAAGGGGAAGCAGCUGAUGGAAACCCUACCCAUUGAAGAUCACAAGGAGCCUAGAGAAGCUCAGGGUGAACCAGUUAAGCAGCUUGUCACAAUUCUACUCGAUAAUGAUCUAAGCAGAACUGUUCAACUCGGAGCACAACUGAAGUCGGAUCUUCACGAUUGGCUAAUGGUGUUCUUACGAGUCCAUGCAGAUGUCUUCGUCUAAUCAGCAUCAGAUAUACCAGGUACAUCUUCUGAUGUUAUUGUUCACAUGUUGAACAUACACUCAAACCAUCGGCCCAUCCCACA
Molecule: long non-coding RNA, 312 nt
Filed under: Elaeis guineensis (African oil palm)
Lineage: Eukaryota; Viridiplantae; Streptophyta; Magnoliopsida; Arecales; Arecaceae
Description: long non-coding RNA (EGUI_LNC015526)
Source: RNAcentral